Molecule: ribosomal RNA, 739 nt
Filed under: uncultured Bacillus sp.
Lineage: Bacteria; Bacillati; Bacillota; Bacilli; Caryophanales; Bacillaceae
Description: bacterial SSU rRNA
Rfam family: Bacterial small subunit ribosomal RNA
Source: RNAcentral
UAGAGUUUGAUCCUGGCUCAGGACGAACGCUGGCGGCGUGCCUAAUACAUGCAAGUCGAGCGGAUGACGAGGAGCUUGAUCCUCUGAUUCAGCGGCGGACGGGUGAGUAACACGUGGGCAACCUGUCUGUAAGACUGGGAUAACUCCGGGAAACCGGGGCUAAUACCGGAUAGGUGAUGUCUUCGCAUGAAGAGAUCAGGAAAGAUGGCUUCGGCUAUCACUUACAGAUGGGCCCGCGGCGCAUUAGCUAGUUGGUGAGGUAACGGCUCACCAAGGCGACGAUGCGUAGCCGACCUGAGAGGGUGAUCGGCCACACUGGGACUGAGACACGGCCCAGACUCCUACGGGAGGCAGCAGUAGGGAAUCUUCCGCAAUGGACGAAAGUCUGACGGAGCAACGCCGCGUGAGCGAAGAAGGUCUUCGGAUCGUAAAGCUCUGUUGUUAGGGAAGAACAAGUACCGUUCGAAUAGGGCGGUACCGUGACGGUACCUAACCAGAAAGCCACGGCUAACUACGUGCCAGCAGCCGCGGUAAUACGUAGGUGGCAAGCGUUGUCCGGAAUUAUUGGGCGUAAAGCGCGCGCAGGCGGCUUCUUAAGUCUGAUGUGAAAGCCCGCAGCUCAACUGCGGAGGGUCAUUGGAAACUGGGAAGCUUGAGUGCAGAAGAGGAGAGUGGAAUUCCACGUGUAGCGGUGAAAUGCGUAGAGAUGUGGAGGAACACCAGUGGCGAAGGCGGCUCU